Molecule: unclassified non-coding RNA, 301 nt
Filed under: Hevea brasiliensis (rubber tree)
Lineage: Eukaryota; Viridiplantae; Streptophyta; Magnoliopsida; Malpighiales; Euphorbiaceae
Source: RNAcentral
UUUUUUCAGUACGAAAACAUGUUAUUUAUUUAACAAAUUUAAAUAAAUGUAUUAUAAGAGAAGAAAUAUAAACUCUUAAAACAUUAAAUAAUUUCUCGUUCCAUCAAUCAGAACCCUACCUGGAGUAGCAUAGUGUCUGAAAACCCAAAUCUCCAAUGCACUUACUCCGCUGGAUGGUCUAAAGGUAAGGGUUUUUCAAAUUUAUUCUCCAACUAAAUUUCCCAGGAAUUCAGGCUCAGGGGGAAAAAAUAAAUAAUACAGUAGCUAGUUUUCUUCCAAAUAAAUAAAUAAAAAGAAUUUU